RNAcentral lists this ribosomal RNA (460 nucleotides) under uncultured bacterium. RNAcentral describes it as "partial 16S ribosomal RNA". It matches the Rfam family "Bacterial small subunit ribosomal RNA", at positions 338 to 795 of the family's 1533-position model. The record is from RNAcentral.
CCUACGGGCGGCAGCAGUGAGGAAUAUUGGUCAAUGGGCGCGAGCCUGAACCAGCCACGUAGCGUGAAGGAUGACUGCCCUACGGGUUGUAAACUUCUUUUAUAAAGGAGUAAAGUGAGGCACGUGUGCCUUAUUGUAUGUACUUUAUGAAUAAGGAUCGGCUAACUCCGUGCCAGCAGCCGCGGUAAUACGGAGGGUCCGAGCGUUAUUCGGAUUUAUUGGGUGUAAAGGGAGCGUAGAUGGGUUGUUAAGUCAGUUGUGAAAGUUUGCGGCUCAACCGUAAAAUUGCAAUUGAAACUGGUAGUCUUGAGUACAGGAGAGGUAGGCGGAAUUCGUGGUGUAGCGGUGAAAUGCUUAGAUAUCAAGAAGAACUCUGAUUGCGAAGGCAGCUUACUAAACUGUCACUGACAUUGAUGCUCGAAAGUGUGGGUAUCAAACAGGAUUAGAUACCCCUGUAGUC